RNAcentral lists this transfer RNA (73 nucleotides) under Nippostrongylus brasiliensis. It matches the Rfam family "tRNA". From Rfam's summary of the family: Transfer RNA (tRNA) molecules are approximately 80 nucleotides in length. Their secondary structure includes four short double-helical elements and three loops (D, anti-codon, and T loops). Lineage: Eukaryota; Metazoa; Nematoda; Chromadorea; Rhabditida; Heligmosomidae. The record is from Rfam by way of RNAcentral.
GUCUCAGUGGCAUAGUGGUUAAUGCACAGCCCCAGUUAGGCGCGAGACGCGGGUUCGAAUCCCGCCUGAGAUG